RNAcentral lists this ribosomal RNA (293 nucleotides) under uncultured eukaryote. RNAcentral's name for it is "partial 18S ribosomal RNA". It matches the Rfam family "Eukaryotic small subunit ribosomal RNA", at positions 6 to 301 of the family's 1831-position model. The record is from RNAcentral.
GGUUGAUCCUGCCAGUAGUCAUAUGCUUGUCUCAAAGAUUAAGCCAUGCAUGUCUAAGUAUAAACUGCUUAUACUGUGAAACUGCGAAUGGCUCAUUAAAUCAGUUAUAGUUUAUUUGAUGGUACCUACUACUCGGAUAACCGUAGUAAUUCUAGAGCUAAUACGUGCGCACAACCCGACUUCUGGAAGGGUCGUAUUUAUUAGAUAAAAGGCCAGCCGGGCUCUGCCCGACCUGCGGUGAAUCAUGAUAACUUCACGAAUCGUAUGGCCUCGCGCCGACGAUGUUUCAUUCA